GACACCUCAGUUGGUAGAGCAUGAAACUCUUAGUCUCAGGUUCAUGGGUUUGAACCCCAUGUUGGGCA
Non-coding RNA from Podarcis lilfordi (Lilford's wall lizard), 68 nucleotides. The record is from the annotation of a GenBank genome assembly. NCBI's taxonomy places the organism in Eukaryota, Metazoa, Chordata, Lepidosauria, Squamata, Lacertidae.